AAUAAACAAAUUUUUAAGUUUUUCUAUAGAAUUUUUGAUUCUUUAUCUUAUUUGAAUUUUUUUAAGGUUAAUGUUUUUAUUGUUAUCACAUGAUAAAACAUAACUAGUACUUUACGUGUGACUAUUUUUUUAAAACUUUUUUAUAAAUUUUUUAAAUAAGACGGAUGGUCAAACGUCAAACUUAGAAAACUCGAAAAUGCUCUUUUU
This 207-nucleotide microRNA precursor is filed under the name Oryza brachyantha (malo sina). Its description in RNAcentral is "MIR812 microRNA precursor family". It matches the Rfam family "MIR812 microRNA precursor family". Lineage: Eukaryota; Viridiplantae; Streptophyta; Magnoliopsida; Poales; Poaceae. The record is from Rfam by way of RNAcentral.